GUGAGCAGUAGUCAUAUGCUUGUCUCAAAGAUUAAGCCAUGCAUGUCCAAGUACAUGCCGCAAUUAAGGCGAAACCGCGAAUGGCUCAUUAAAUCAGUUAUGGUUCCUUGGAUCGUACCUUCCUACUUGGAUACCCGAGGAAAUGCCUCGGCUAAUACAUGCAGCAGAGCUCCGACCUUCGGGGACGAGCGCUUUUAUUAGACCAAAACCGAUCGGACCUCGCGUCCGUAUCUUGUGACGACUCUGUAUAACUUUGGGCUGAUCGCACGGGCUCGUCCCGGCGACGUAUCUUUCAAGUGUCUGCCUUAUCAACUUUCGAUGGUAGGCCACGCGCCUACCAUGGUCGUAACGGGUGACGGGGAAUCAGGGUUCGAUUCCGGAGAGGGAGCCUGAGAAACGGCUACCACAUCCAAGGAAGGCAGCAGGCACGCAAAUUACCCACUCCCGGCACGGGGAGGUAGUGACGAAAAAUAACGAUACGGGACUCUUUUGAGACCCCGUAAUCGGAAUGAGUACACCCUAAAUCCUUUAACGAGGAUCCAUUGGAGGGCAAGUCUGGUGCCAGCAGCUGCGGUAAUUCCAGCUCCAAUAGCGUAUAUUAAAGUUGUUGCGGUUAAAAAGCUCGUAGUUGGAUCUCAGUUCCAGACGGGUGGUCCGCCUACCGGUGGUCACUGCCCCGUUCUGAACAGCCAGCCGGUUUCUCUUGAUGAUCUUCACCGGUUGUCUUGGGUGACCGGCAAGUUUACUUUGAAAAAAUUAGAGUGCUCAAAGCAGGCGUGACGCCUGGAUAAUGGUGCAUGGAAUAAUGGAAUAGGACCUCGGUUCUAUUUUGUUGGUUUUCGGAACACGAGGUAAUGACUAAGAGGGACAGACGGGGGCAUUCGUAUUGCGACGCUAGAGGUGAAAUUCUUGGACCGUCGCAAGACGAACUACUGCGAGA
Molecule: ribosomal RNA, 940 nt
Filed under: Badumna tangae
Lineage: Eukaryota; Metazoa; Arthropoda; Arachnida; Araneae; Desidae
Description: SSU rRNA
Rfam family: Eukaryotic small subunit ribosomal RNA
Source: RNAcentral